GACCGGGCUCUGUGCGACAGGAAUUUAUGAACUCCCGUCAGGUCCGGAAGGAAGCAGCGGUAAAUGAAGCCUCUUGUGCGCCGCAGUCAGCCUGGUCUCU
This 100-nucleotide signal recognition particle RNA is filed under the name Nitrospirota bacterium. Its description in RNAcentral is "Nitrospirae bacterium (groundwater metagenome) signal recognition particle sRNA small type". It matches the Rfam family "Bacterial small signal recognition particle RNA". From Rfam's summary of the family: The signal recognition particle (SRP) is a universally conserved ribonucleoprotein involved in the co-translational targeting of proteins to membranes. Archaeal SRP consists of a 7S RNA and homologues of the eukaryotic SRP19 and SRP54 proteins. The record is from RNAcentral. Lineage: Bacteria; Pseudomonadati; Nitrospirota.